Molecule: ribosomal RNA, 220 nt
Filed under: uncultured Lactobacillus sp.
Lineage: Bacteria; Bacillati; Bacillota; Bacilli; Lactobacillales; Lactobacillaceae
Description: partial 16S ribosomal RNA
Rfam family: Bacterial small subunit ribosomal RNA
Source: RNAcentral
AUAACACCUGGAAACAGAUGCUAAUACCGGAUAACAAACAGAUGAUGCCUAUCAACUGUUUAAAAGAUGGUUCUGCUAUCACUCUUGGAUGGACCUGCGGUGCAUUAGCUAGUUGGUAGGGUAACGGCCUACCAAGGCGAUGAUGCAUAGCCGAGUUGAGAGACUGAUCGGCCACAUUGGGACUGAGACACGGCCCAAACUCCUACGGGAGGCAGCAGGC